This 508-nucleotide ribosomal RNA is filed under the name uncultured bacterium. Its description in RNAcentral is "SSU rRNA". It matches the Rfam family "Bacterial small subunit ribosomal RNA", at positions 26 to 518 of the family's 1533-position model. The record is from RNAcentral.
AGGACGAACGCUGGCGGCGCGCUUAACACAUGCAAGUCGAGCGAGAACCGAGGCCUUCGGGCCUUGGGGAAAGCGGCGAACGGGUGAGUAACACGUGGGCAACCCACCCUUGGUACCGGGAUAGCCCGGGGAAACCCGGAUUAAUACCGGAUGGCCCAGCAGCCUCUUCGGGGCGGUUGGAAAAGGUAGCUUCGGCCUCCGACCAAGGACGGGCCCGCGGCGGAUUAGCUUGUUGGUGAGGUAACGGCUCACCAAGGCGACGAUCCGUAGCUGGUCUGAGAGGACGAUCAGCCACACUGGGACUGAGACACGGCCCAGACUCCUACGGGAGGCAGCAGUGGGGAAUCUUGCGCAAUGGGCGAAAGCCUGACGCAGCGACGCCGCGUGGGGGAAGAAGGCUUUCGGGUUGUAAACCCCUUUCAGGAAGGACGAAGCCACUCGGGUGAAUAGCCCAGAGGGUGACGGUACUUCCAGAAGAAGCCCCGGCUAACUACGUGCCAGCAGCCGC